This 496-nucleotide ribosomal RNA is filed under the name uncultured bacterium. RNAcentral describes it as "partial 16S ribosomal RNA". It matches the Rfam family "Bacterial small subunit ribosomal RNA", at positions 29 to 507 of the family's 1533-position model. The record is from RNAcentral.
AUGAACGCUGGCGGCGUGCCUAAUACAUGCCAGUCGAGCGAACAGAUGAGGAGCUUGCUCCUCUGACGUUAGCGGCGGACGGGUGAGUAACACGUGGAUAACCUACCUAUAAGACUGGGAUAACUUCGGGAAACCGGAGCUAAUACCGGAUAAUAUAUUGAACCGCAUGGUUCAAUAGUGAAAGACGGUUUUGCUGUCACUUAUAGAUGGAUCCGCGCCGCAUUAGCUAGUUGGUAAGGUAACGGCUUACCAAGGCAACGAUGCGUAGCCGACCUGAGAGGGUGAUCGGCCACACUGGAACUGAGACACGGUCCAGACUCCUACGGGAGGCAGCAGUAGGGAAUCUUCCGCAAUGGGCGAAAGCCUGACGGAGCAACGCCGCGUGAGUGAUGAAGGUCUUCGGAUCGUAAAACUCCGUUAUUAGGGAAGAACAAAUGUGUAAGUAACUAUGCACGUCUUGACGGUACCUAAUCAGAAAGCCACGGCUAACUACGUG